GCAUCUAAGCGGGAAGCCAGCCUCGAGAUUAAUUCUCCCGGAGCUUUAAGCUCCCUAAAGGGCCGUGGAAGACUACCACGUUGAUAGGCUGGGUGUGGAAGAGUGGCAACACUUGGAGCUGACCAGUACUAAUUGCCCGUGCGGCUUAACCAU
Molecule: ribosomal RNA, 153 nt
Filed under: Mariprofundus sp.
Lineage: Bacteria; Pseudomonadati; Pseudomonadota; Candidatius Mariprofundia; Mariprofundales; Mariprofundaceae
Description: partial 23S ribosomal RNA
Rfam family: Bacterial large subunit ribosomal RNA
Source: RNAcentral